Molecule: long non-coding RNA, 938 nt
Filed under: Coturnix japonica (Japanese quail)
Lineage: Eukaryota; Metazoa; Chordata; Aves; Galliformes; Phasianidae
Description: lncRNA (ENSCJPG00005000399.1)
Source: RNAcentral
AUGCAAUAGUUUAGAAGGUGGAGAUCACUAUAAGAGAUUGCAAAGAGAUAAAUUUGUGAAAGACUGGUUAACUGAUGACUAUUAAAGCUGACAGCUGACAUGCAGCCCUCAGCUGAGAAGACUCAUAAAUCACUGGUUGUUCAAAUGUGGUGAAAUAAACCAGAGGAAAGCCUCUACUCUGCAUCUCUCAUGGUUCCUCAGCCUCUGUUACCGACCGCUACAGAGUCUGGUUGCUUUGUUGUCCUCCCUGUGGAGCCAGUGCUGUGUGACUGACCCUAAACCAAAGUCUAUUUGCAGGGUUGAUCUUAGAGCAGAGAAGUUUUUAUCUUGUAAUGUAUAUUUCAGCUGGGCACAUUGCACUUACCACUAAUGUUGAUCUCUAGCAUCCUGGCUGUGACUUCUCCAGCCAAACUGAUGGGCUGGGCUAUGGGGGCAGGGAGGAACACCUUGGCCAUGUGAGUGCUGCCAGGGGCUUUGGGAAGGGCUGGGAAGCCCUGCAAGACAUUUUGUCUACCUGCAAACGUGGGUGAGAAGAAAGAUGGUGGGAGGGACGGGGGUUGCUGGGAGCACACAUAAAACAUCUGUGUAUUUUAAUUUCUGUUCUAUGGUGGGAAAACUUCACCUGACCUGCUUUCUUGAGAUUUGGAUUUGGAAGACUGAAAAUGGGGCAGAAGAACAUGUACAAUAAGACUGCUGUCAGGGAGGAACAAAAUACCAUUGCUCAGCCGUCUCAGGAAUAGUUUCUGUAGCAGGACAUGUGCAAGGAGAGCUAUGGCGAUUACAAGUAUAGCUGGGAAUUCAGAACUUCAUCUGCACUUUCUAGAAAGUCUCACUUUUGGCCGGUUGCACUGAGGAGUUUUCUCAGGAACUACACAGGGCUUUGUCAUAGGCUCAUUAGCAGACCUCACCAACAGCAGAUGACACUUCAGCUAACCUGA